GUUCCGGCUCCUCAGCGGCGUCAUCCGAUCCGAUACCCGACCCCGACAUCGGCCUCCGCUCGUCCCCUCCCCGGCUCCCCCUCCCCUCGCGACCUCACGCGAACGGCGAACCUCGUGCUCGCAGCCUCUGCACGAGAUGAGAUGAGGUGGCCUCUGCGCCUCCGGCCUCUACGCUCCGCGCCGCACCGGGGCUCCGAGUCUCCCCUUCUGUCGCAUCUCUCCGGGCCUUGCUUGCUGAUAGACAACUUCUUGAUUUUGCUUGUCUUACCCGAAGCACCUGGACUCCAUGUCCUGCUUCAUUUUGCUCAACCAGUUCAAGCCGCCCAGUUGUAGUCUAUCCAGUGGUCUUGUCAAGAACUAGAUGGUGUGGACUGUUUGUUUAAUGUUUUUCAUCCACUUUGCAUCGCACAUUUUAUCAGGUAUUCUGUUUUAUAUGUUUUCUACUAUGGCUCUGCAGUCUGCUUGAGUGGAUAAUCUGAUGGAUUAGUAAUUAACACUAACAUUUAGAAUUGAGAGUUGGUAUAUCCACGAGUGAAUACAGAACACAUAUUCAGUAUCUACAACCACCAAGGCAGCCAGUUUGAUGUUUCACCUUGCAAGUUGUUGAUGAAUCGAUGUUGUUUAGGUUACUUUAGACAUUAAUUAAAUUAAAGAAGGUUAGGGUUGUCACGAAAAGAAUCAAGGCGGCAGCAGCAGCCCGUGUGGCUGGCAGCAAUAACGAUGGCAUAUGGGAUUUUUGGCGCAAUGACUGGUGAUCUAUGUCUUACCUCAUUCAUCAAUUCAUUUGGGUGUAUUACACUAUGAGUAUCAGCUGCUAUACUGUCACUAAAACUAGAGAAAUAGUCUACCUCAAUGCUAUGUGUUCUUUUUGUUUUGCUUUGAAAAGUAAUAGCAAUCUAUAUGCCUUACAAAGAGUCUUCAAGGUACUUGACUAGUAUAGUUUUGCCCAAUUAGUAAUGUGUUGUCUUCAUUUUUAAGGAACAUGGAUCAAGUCCUAAGGCCAAAUGCUUCCAUUACAACUAUGAGCCAUAUUUAGUUCAACUCUGCUAUUCAAAUUUGGCUGUACAGUUUUGUUUCAAUUUUACAUGAUAAUAUGCUGAGCUCUUGUUCUUAUUGUUUCUACUUUUCAACUCAAUAAUGUAUCUCAAUACUCUGGUUUUCUUGCACAAAUUUUUAUUGUUUUACUUAGUCAGACAAUGUUGUUAACUUGAGGCUCCAAUAUGCAUAUAGAGCCUUUUUUUUUCUCCUUUUGAUAGUGAUACUUCCCUCUGUUACAUAUGAUCUGUACUCAUGUUUUUAUCUGGUUCUUUGCAGCAGGAGCAUGACUGUCGACCACUUCUCCCCUCACCUGAACUGAUGCACCUAUGCUUUGAUACCAAAGGUAUGAAAUUGUGGAUUUCUUCCUCCCUCUCUUAUCUCCCUCAGAUCCACUUCUUGGUUGUUCCUUUCCAUUUGUGUGGUCAACGCAUAGAAAACAGGGUCAAUCAUGCCUCCCAGUUCUGAAUGAUUCCAUAUGAAAUAUCUAGUAUGCAAUAAGUGACACCCUACUUGAUAUCUAUUAACUAAACAUGACCAUUGGUCGUUACAAAGUUCGCUAGUGACUGAAGUGAACACCCAUUAUUAUUUCCAGAAAACCUGACCAAGAGGUAGAACUGUAAAGAGGCUAUGUGCUUGUAUAUGCUCCUUAGUAUGGCUGCAGUUUACUUUUCACUCACUAACAUGCAGGGAUGGUUUGAAUUGUGGCUAACUGAAUCCAUGUAAUAUUCUGUAUUUCUUUGCUUUCACUCAUAUUUGUAUUUUUUUUCCUUCAUUAGAUAGCCUCAAAGAAAAAGGUGAGGGCUGUGUGUGUUGUUUGCUGCCUGCCAUCAAAAUUUUCACUUUUGACAAGUCAAUGUUCUUUUGGGAAGCACUUGAAGGUCGAGAGAUGGUGUUCUACGAAAAUGUUGAAGUUUAAAGCAUGGAUAAUGCCUUAUGGAAGUGCACAACCCUAGCUAUAAAUUUGUUAUCAUUUAUCGAAUUUUGAUUUGCAAAAUAAUGUAAUUUUCUAGAAGGCCUCUCUUGCACAUGCAAGUUUGUGAAGAUUUUGAAUUUUUUUUUGAUUUUUUUCUCAAGAAAAGUUUAUUGUGAUUCAUAUGUAAAGCGUCAUAUGCUUGUCCUUUGUUGCU
Molecule: RNA transcript, 2165 nt
Organism: Panicum virgatum (switchgrass)
Lineage: Eukaryota; Viridiplantae; Streptophyta; Magnoliopsida; Poales; Poaceae
Exons: 4
Source: RefSeq, a predicted model, not a curated record